UACGGAGGGGGCAAGCGUUGUUCGGAUUUACUGGGCGUAAAGGGCGCGUAGGCGGCGUGACAAGUCACUUGUGAAAUCUCCGGGCUUAACUCGGAACUGCCAAGUGAUACUGUCGUGCUAGAGUGCAGAAGGGGCAAUCGGAAUUCUUGGUGUAGCGGUGAAAUGCGUAGAUAUCAAGAGGAACACCAGAGGCGAAGGCGGAUUGCUGGGCUGACACUGACGCUGAGGCGCGAAAGCUAGGGUAGCAAACGGG
This 253-nucleotide ribosomal RNA is filed under the name Blastocatellaceae bacterium. RNAcentral's name for it is "partial 16S ribosomal RNA". It matches the Rfam family "Bacterial small subunit ribosomal RNA", at positions 524 to 776 of the family's 1533-position model. The record is from RNAcentral. RNAcentral also lists the same sequence under 1 other name. Lineage: Bacteria; Pseudomonadati; Acidobacteriota; Blastocatellia; Blastocatellales; Blastocatellaceae.